UUUCCCAGAUCUCGAGUGACCGUCUUCUUCUUUCACAAACAAUCAAACAUUGUCCUUCUCUGUCUAAUUGGUCAUUGCUGUGACGAUGGAGGAUUGUGUAUAAGUUUCUCAAUCUUAUAUUUCUUGUGCUUAUCCACCUUCCUCCUCCUCUCCCCCAACUUUUCAUCCCCCUGCUCACUCAACCCAAUUAAUCUCCGCGAAGCGUCCCUCUCUUAAUCCAACUGAAACAAGGAGAGAGAAGAUGAACCUCAAUCUAAAUGACACAGAUCAUUCUCAUGAGGUUAAGAGCAACAAAGAGACAGAUGAAGAUAGUCGGCUCUUGAAGACUCCAUAAUCGUUGAACCUCCUCAUAUAAGGAAUUGGUUUCCGUGCUAUGUUUCUGAAUUGCAAACAAGUGAUGAAGUUUGUUUGUCUCCUAUUGGAGAAAAUAAAUCUACAAAGGAUACAGAAGUUAAGAAAGAUAUUUCAAAGACCAGAUGGAUGUCGGUGAGGACAGUCAGUUUGACGCAGACAAAACUGACAGUAUUUCUUGAGAAACUAUGAGGAAGAAAGAGACUUCGCAAACAAGCCAUGAAGGUGAAGUCAUUGCCUUGAAGAACAGAGUGAAAUAUGUAAAAACGGUAGUGGAUAAUUUGCAUGAUCUUAUCAAUCAUUUAGUUAGUUCCAAUGGCAAAAAAAUAAUGUAAUGCUAUUAGUUUAUAAGUAUUUUCGUAUUUUAUGUAAUGGCUGAUGGAAUGUUAUGUGUGGAUGUAUUCUUAUGGCUUAUAUUAUUAGAUUAUGAAUAUGGCUUAUGAUUGUUUA
Molecule: long non-coding RNA, 801 nt
Organism: Camelina sativa (false flax)
Lineage: Eukaryota; Viridiplantae; Streptophyta; Magnoliopsida; Brassicales; Brassicaceae
Source: RefSeq, a predicted model, not a curated record